Non-coding RNA from Mauremys mutica (yellowpond turtle), 419 nucleotides. NCBI's taxonomy places the organism in Eukaryota, Metazoa, Chordata, Testudines, Geoemydidae. The record is from the annotation of a RefSeq genome assembly.
UCAGUGAGACACAGAUGGGGGUGUGCAUAGUCUGGUGUGUAGCCAUGUGUCUCUUGGGAGCAAGCCAAGCAGAUGCUGAAAUAACUCAAACACCAAGUCUGGUGCUGGAGAGAGGACACACUGCCUAUCUGAGAUGUCAACAGUCCUAUGGGCACAACAACAUGUUCUGGUACCGACAGGAUCCAGGUCAGGGAAUGCAGUUCCUCAUUAAUUUCUACAACAAAAUGGAAACUGAAAAAGGAAAGAUUACUGAUCGCUUCCAGGCUGACCAGCCGCAGAAUGAUCUCUUUCGGUUGAACAUCUCGUCUGUGCAGCCAGAGGACUCAGCUGUGUAUUUCUGCGCCAGCAGCUUAGACACACUGCUUCAGAGUCCCCUCCUCCCUCUACAAAAACCUCAUCUCUCCCUUGUCUCUCUGUAG